AGCAGCCGCGGUAAUUCCAGCUCCAAUAGCGUAUAUUAAAGUUGUUGCAGUUAAAAAGCUCGUAGUUGAACUUCGGGGUUCACCCAUUGGUCAGGCUUAAUUGUCUGUACUGGUGAGAUGAGUCUCUACCUUCUGAGGAACUUUCAUGCCAUUCGUUUGGUGUGAUGGGAAAUCAGGACUGUUACUUUGAAAAAAUUAGAGUGUUUAAAGCAGGCUAACGUCUGAAUACAUUAGCAUGGAAUAAUGAAAUAGGACGGAUUGAUUCUAUUUCGUUGGUUUCUAGGGUCACCGUAAUGAUUAAUAGGGAUAGUUGGGGGCAUUAGUAUUCAAUUGUCAGAGGUGAAAUUCUUGGAUUUAUUGAAGACUAACUACUGCGAAAGCAUUUGCCAAGGAUGUUUUCAUUAAUCUAAGAACGAAAGUUAGGGGAUCGAAGACGGAUCAGAUACCGUCGUAGUCUUAACCAUAAACCUAUGCCGACUAGGGAUCGGACGAAGUUAAUUUUAUAAUUGACGCGUUCGGC
Molecule: ribosomal RNA, 520 nt
Filed under: uncultured Diversispora
Lineage: Eukaryota; Fungi; Glomeromycota; Glomeromycetes; Diversisporales; Diversisporaceae
Description: SSU rRNA
Rfam family: Eukaryotic small subunit ribosomal RNA
Source: RNAcentral